Gossypium hirsutum (cotton) is the source of this 130-nucleotide non-coding RNA. NCBI's taxonomy places the organism in Eukaryota, Viridiplantae, Streptophyta, Magnoliopsida, Malvales, Malvaceae. The record is from Rfam.
CACGUCAGCGCGACCUGCUGAGGUGGAAGGAAAUCGCGUCCUCAACCCCCUGCCAUUUACCCUGACAUCGCGCUGACGUCGUCCUUCAGGGAGCGAUUUCCUUCCACGUCAGCAGGUCGCGCUGACGUGG